Molecule: long non-coding RNA, 230 nt
Filed under: Salvia miltiorrhiza (redroot sage)
Lineage: Eukaryota; Viridiplantae; Streptophyta; Magnoliopsida; Lamiales; Lamiaceae
Description: long non-coding RNA (SMIL_LNC011000)
Source: RNAcentral
AAUCAGUUGAUCAACAACCCUCGUACAUCAAUGGAAACUAUAUAAAUAAAUAAAGCCGCGUUUGACGAGAAUUGAAGAGGGUUUUCACAAUUUCAUACCAGCUAUGAACUGGUGAGAUGCGUGGAUUAGUUUUUGAUCGGUGAAGAAAAACUUCAAAGUGAUGACAUAUGAGAGUGGUGAGUGAGUGUAUAGAGAGAGAAAAGUGUAGUGAAAGGAACGGAAGGAGAAAG